RNAcentral lists this ribosomal RNA (578 nucleotides) under uncultured bacterium. RNAcentral's name for it is "partial 16S ribosomal RNA". It matches the Rfam family "Bacterial small subunit ribosomal RNA", at positions 355 to 932 of the family's 1533-position model. The record is from RNAcentral.
UGGGGAAUUUUGGACAAUGGGCGAAAGCCUGAUCCAGCAAUGCCGCGUGUGUGAAGAAGGCCUUCGGGUUGUAAAGCACUUUUGUCCGGAAAGAAAUCCUUGGCUCUAAUACAGUCGGGGGAUGACGGUACCGGAAGAAUAAGCACCGGCUAACUACGUGCCAGCAGCCGCGGUAAUACGUAGGGUGCAAGCGUUAAUCGGAAUUACUGGGCGUAAAGCGUGCGCAGGCGGUUUGCUAAGACCGAUGUGAAAUCCCCGGGCUCAACCUGGGAACUGCAUUGGUGACUGGCAGGCUAGAGUAUGGCAGAGGGGGGUAGAAUUCCACGUGUAGCAGUGAAAUGCGUAGAGAUGUGGAGGAAUACCGAUGGCGAAGGCAGCCCCCUGGGCCAAUACUGACGCUCAUGCACGAAAGCGUGGGGAGCAAACAGGAUUAGAUACCCUGGUAGUCCACGCCCUAAACGAUGUCAACUAGUUGUUGGGGAUUCAUUCCUUAGUAACGUAGCUAACGCGUGAAGUUGACCGCCUGGGGAGUACGGUCGCAAGAUUAAAACUUAAAUGAAUUGACGGGGUCAUAGCUG